UUGCACAGUGAAUACCCAAAGGUUUUAUUUGCUCCACAUCCUUGUCAGUGUUUUGUUUUAUAGUUUCCUUGGUUUUGACGCUAUGCUAGAGCAAUGUCUGUUCUUUUCCUCUGCAUUGCAAGGUAUAUGCUGUUCUUUCAAAUGUAUUCAGAAAGUCAGCAUAUCA
Small nucleolar RNA from Sciurus vulgaris (Eurasian red squirrel), 166 nucleotides. Lineage: Eukaryota; Metazoa; Chordata; Mammalia; Rodentia; Sciuridae. The record is from Ensembl.